GAAGUUGUUUUAAUGUUAUUCAAGCAGGAAAUCUAACGAUGAGAUGAGACUGAGCUCUCUUUCUUGAAAGUCGACUUUGAUACUUUUUUUUUGUUACUCGAUACUCCACGUUGUGCCUUUUUACAGAGUUUUAAUUGGAGGGGCAGGUGUUUAAAACUGACAACUUGCACUUGUGCUAUGUACUUUAUACAGUAUACAAGUGAAACGGUGUGUGUGUCUGAGUGUGUUUGUGCUCUGUCUGCUGCUCACUUCUUACAGAGCCUAACAGGGGUGUCAAACUCUUUUUUUGUCGGAAACCGAAUAAACGUUUCAUCAUCACAUCGUAUUAUUACUUGCUCACACGCACACACAUAAAAAAGAUGGCUGACUAGUUUAAAAACAUGUUUAUUGAACAUAUUUAGAACAUACAAUACAAUAACAGAUUGACAAAAGUGAAGGCUAGUAAAAAUUAUAAAAGGAUUUUUUAAAAAAUCAGUCAACUAUUUGUUUGUUCAAUAAUUGUUGCAGUGAGUGUAACCAGGGGAACAACAAUUUUGCAAAAUCUCAUUAUUUAUUACACAUGACAAUGUCGCAUUUCCGUCCAGAUUUUAGCAAGCAUCAUCGAAGUUAACACCCACGAUUUUCUUUCGGGGGCCACAUAAAAUGAUUUUGACACCUGUAGCCUAGAAGAUGAUGAUGCUCAUCCACGGAGCCCCACAGACAUGACGUGGUUGGGUACUUUUUGAAAGCAAAUCAUUUAUGGCCACAAUUUUGAUACAAAGUGGGCACCAAAUUCUCAUUUGCGGUCACAAAAUACUCAUCUGUAACCUAGAGCUUGACAUAAAGUGGGCACAAAACACAUUUGUGGCCACAAAAAAAGCUGUGGCUUCAUACUGGAUAGUUGGAAAAACACAGUGAGAGAUCCUUAUAUAAGAUAGAAAGAUAUAGAAAUGUUGAGGUGGAGGUAGAGGCCCGGGCUAAAAACUUGGAGCCAUUGUAGUAAAAUUGAAUUUCCUUUUGAAACACUUGCCAUUGACAACAAAAUAAGGAAAAACCCUUGCCACACGGCAUUCCAUUUUUUCUCAAAGGUGAACACCAUUUGCCCCUGUUGUCUAUGGUCAUGAUGAUAACGGUCCAAAUCAGCAUUUUCUGUGCAUGUCAUAACUACAGUACAUUGCAGCCACUAAAUUAAAGAACCAAAAAAACUCAAGUCAUGUCUGGAGCUUGGUUCUCUAUUUGUGUAGAGUUGUUCUUGUUUUCAACGAAAACAGAAACAUGAGUGAAAGACAAAGGCACAACUAUUGACAGUGAGCAAAUAUAAUUGCAGAUCAUUUUUAUAAGUCCAUGUGAUCAAAAGCAAAACAUUAUCAUAUGACCCAGAAGGGGUUCCAGUUCCAUUUUGUUGUUCUUUGUCAAUGGCCAAUGGAAAAAACAGAUUUUCAAAAUAUAUUUUUUUCUCCAUCCUCCUGAUUGAAUUACAAUUAAGAUGGUAUUUGAGCAAACUUUUCUGGAAAAUGACACUUCUCAAGCAGCACCAAAUCUCACUCCAUCACGCCCGUUUCUCAAAUCUUGCGACAUCAUCUUGUUGAAUUUUGUCAAUUCAUUUUAGUUUUUUUGUUUUUUUUUUGCCGUGGUGAUGCAACCCACAUUUCUGCAUAAAUGUGCAAUAGUGAAUCACUGGCCUAUACUUGCAGUUAAAAACUCAUCAUUGUCAUAAAACAUCCCACCUGUCAUAUUUUAUACGUGGUAGUAUCCUUCCCUGGUAGAGCAGUUAAA
Long non-coding RNA from Hippocampus zosterae (dwarf seahorse), 1755 nucleotides. RefSeq lists it as uncharacterized. Lineage: Eukaryota; Metazoa; Chordata; Actinopteri; Syngnathiformes; Syngnathidae. The transcript has 2 exons. The record is from RefSeq and is a predicted model, not a curated record.